This 235-nucleotide ribosomal RNA is filed under the name uncultured bacterium. Its description in RNAcentral is "partial 16S ribosomal RNA". It matches the Rfam family "Bacterial small subunit ribosomal RNA", at positions 96 to 334 of the family's 1533-position model. The record is from RNAcentral.
UGGCGGACGGGUGAGUAAUGUCUGGGAAACUGCCUGAUGAGGGGGAUAACUACUGGAAACGGUAGCUAAUACCGCAUAACGUCGCAAGACCAAAGAGGGGGGACCUUAGGGCCUCUUGCCAUCGGAUGUGCCCAGAUGGGAUUAGCUAGUAGGUGGGGUAACGGCUCACCUAGGCGACGAUCCCUAGCUGGUCUGAGAGGAUGACCAGCCACACUGGAACUGAGACACGGUCCAG